GGCAACCAGCUCAGGUCUGCUUCCCGUCUGUGGAAGCUUUGUUCUUUCACUCUUGACAGUGAAUCUUGCUGCUGCUCACUCUUUGGGUCCAUGCCAUCUUUAAGAGCUGUGACGCUUACAGCCAAGGUCCGUGGCUCCAUUCUUGAAGUCAGCAAGACCACGAAUCCACCGGAAGGAGCAAACUCUGGACAUAGCAUGUGCUUUUGCAGGAAGGACGUUGGACUCUUGCACUAUAAAUUUAAAACAUCGCUUAUAAAGAAUACAUCGCAGCACACUUGCAGAGAGAGCACUGGUUCAUCAAAAUAAGAUAUGAUCAAGGUACAAAAGAGUUAAAGAAGCUAUUUAUUUUAAUGUUUCCUUGGAGAGCACACUUGUUAUUAUGCCUGCUCCAGCUUUGCCUUCCACCAUGAGUAAAAGCUUCCCAAGAUUCCCCAGAAGCAGAUGCUGGCGCUAUGCUUCCGGUACAGCCUGAAAAACCUUGAGCCAAUUGAACCUCAGUGAGCUCAAGAUGUCUUUGUUGAAACAGAACCUCCCAAAGUUACAGUAUUGGUUUUGGGGCUCCACACAGAGAACACAUCAUGGAAGCUAUAAUUGAGGGAGACAAAGCUGUCAGGACGGCACCAAGAGAGUUAGAAAGCCCAAGAGUGGAGCAUUCAUCACCGUGAUUCCACCUGACACUUGGCUGAGAGCAUUUUGCACUAAUUUGCUUUGUGCCUGUUCAGACAAUCUAAAAAGAAAGGAUGAGGGGACAACAGGUGUCUAUUAAACAGAAUAACAGCUUCUGGCAAAUGAAUAC
Molecule: long non-coding RNA, 796 nt
Organism: Symphalangus syndactylus (siamang)
Lineage: Eukaryota; Metazoa; Chordata; Mammalia; Primates; Hylobatidae
Source: RefSeq, a predicted model, not a curated record